AAGUCUGACGGAGCAACGCCGCGUGAGUGAUGAAGGUUUUCGGAUCGUAAAGCUCUGUUGUUAGGGAAGAACAAGUGCAAGAGUAACUGCUUGCACCUUGACGGUACCUAACCAGAAAGCCACGGCUAACUACGUGCCAGCAGCCGCGGUAAUACGUAGGUGGCAAGCGUUGUCCGGAAUUAUUGGGCGUAAAGGGCUCGCAGGCGGUUUCUUAAGUCUGAUGUGAAAGCCCCCGGCUCAACCGGGGAGGGUCAUUGGAAACUGGGAAACUUGAGUGCAGAAGAGGAGAGUGGAAUUCCACGUGUAGCGGUGAAAUGCGUAGAGAUGUGGAGGAACACCAGUGGCGAAGGCGACUCUCUGGUCUGUAACUGACGCUGAGGAGCGAAAGCGUGGGGAGCGAACAGGAUUAGAUACCCUGGUAGUCCACGCCGUAAACGAUGAGUGCUAAGUGUUAGGGGGUUUCCGCCCCUUAGUGCUGCAGCUAACGCAUUAAGCACUCCGCCUGGGGAGUACGGUCGCAAGACUGAAACUCAAAGGAAUUGACGGGGGCCCGCACAAGCGGUGGAGCAUGUGGUUUAAUUCGAAGCAACGCGAAGAACCUUACCAGGUCUUGACAUCCUCUGACAACCCUAGAGAUAGGGCUUUCCCUUCGGGGACAGAGUGACAGGUGGUGCAUGGUUGUCGUCAGCUCGUGUCGUGAGAUGUUGGGUUAAGUCCCGCAACCGAGCGCAACCCUUGAUCUUAGUUGCCAGCAUUUAGUUGGGCACUCUAAGGUGACUGCCGGUGACAAACCGGAGGAA
Molecule: ribosomal RNA, 800 nt
Filed under: Bacillus sp. MN54
Lineage: Bacteria; Bacillati; Bacillota; Bacilli; Caryophanales; Bacillaceae
Description: bacterial SSU rRNA
Rfam family: Bacterial small subunit ribosomal RNA
Source: RNAcentral